This is a long non-coding RNA of Lemur catta (Ring-tailed lemur), 4023 nucleotides long. RefSeq lists it as uncharacterized. The transcript is spliced from 3 exons. The record is from RefSeq and is a predicted model, not a curated record. NCBI's taxonomy places the organism in Eukaryota, Metazoa, Chordata, Mammalia, Primates, Lemuridae.
GGGUGCGGUGGCACACACCUGUGGUCCCAGCUACUCUGGAGGCUGAGGCAGGAGGACUGCUGGAGCCCAGGAGCGAGAGCUUUUAUGAUGAUAACAGCAAUGCAUGAAGUGAAAAAAAUCAGCAGUCCUGAAGUGGCUAAAAUAUGCUAUUCUGGCAUAUUGGCUACUUAAGUUCAAAGCACUUGAAAAACAGAAGGUACGAGAAGGUCACUCUGAACUUCGUGCUGUUUUUUAAAAAGAAGUUGAAAUUGCCAUGUGAAAGAUGCCAUCCCACACUGGAGAAAAAGCAAGAUUUUUAUCAUCAAAGAUGAGAAGGUUGAGGCCAAAGGAAUUCUGCACAAACAAGCCUUGCUGAUGCUGGCCUGUCCUUCCAGGGGAUCAACAAGGGACUAAGGGACCAACUCACGAAUGCAGGUGGCUGUGUGGGUGAGACUGCGUUUGGCCUCUCAGCCUCCCUCAUAAGGGGGACAGUGGGAUUUGCAUCCAGGAGGGGUUCUGUCCCCCAGUAGGCUUGAUGUCAGUCUGCACCAACUGGGACAGACAGACACGGUGGCAGCCCUUGUCCCUCAUGUAAGCCCCACCGACACCCACAGUUAGGAGGCUUGUCUUUGUCAGGUGUAACUUUCCAACAUCAGUCUUGGAUUUCACCCAUUUUCCCACGAAUACCCUUCUCCGUUGCUUGGCUUUCAUUUACUUGUCAGAUCUCCUUAGUCUCUUGUAAUCUGCAAUUUCUUGUUUUUUUCCGCUAUCUUUCAUGAUCUCGAUACUUUUGCUGAGUGAUGGCCAGGUGUUUUGCAGAAUGUUCCUCAGGUGAGGUUUCUCCGAUGUUUUCUCGUGGUUCGACUGAGGUUACGAAUGUUUUGGAAGCACAUGAGCAUGCCCAAGUGGCCCUCCCAUCAGGUCGUGUGGGCGGGUACACUGGUGGUGGUCCCUUUCAUCGCUGGCGUGGGCGGUGUCCGCUGGGUCCCCCUGCCCCACAGUGCUCUUUGCUUUCCUUUUCCGCACUCUCUUUGCUAGGCGUGAGUCUCUAGGCCAGCCCGCACGGCUCCGGGAUAACUGCCACGCUUUGCCACCAUCCGUCCCCAUGGCUAUUCCCCGCUGGUGGACGGGCUGUGCCCUUGGCCCAGGUGGGCUGGUGAGUGCGUCCCAGUACGGGACACCGGGGCAUGCGGAGCCGGCAGUCUCCCUCUCCAGGUGAUUAGUUUUCAGAAUUAGAGACCCAGUGAGGGCACUUGUGCAACUCAUCACGUCUAGAAAGCCACCCUGUGGUGUGAGAGAAUGCCCCCCCCCCCCCCCCCCCGCCGUGGGCUCCAGUUCCUGCCUGUGUGAAAAGGGAUUAAUGAUGCUGACCUUGCAGGAAUCUGAGGCCCAAAGGAGACAAACCAAGAGGAGGACGUGGCCCAGGGCCGGGCAUGGGGUUGGCUCUUAAUAACUGUCAGUUUCCCUUUGCCUAAGCUCUGCUCAAGUCACCCUACAAAUGACAGUCUCCACACAGCACAAAUGACCAUGGGCUAAUUGUUUUCUUGGAGUGGGAUUUUAAGGCGCGUAGUGAGAAAACGUGCAGUUCCCGUCUCUGCUGUCUCCUGUUUCUUCUCUGGUCAGUGAGAGCCGGGAGAGUCUGUGUGGGGACCAUUGUUUACGGAGCCGUGACGUUUUCUCCCAAAUCCAAUGAGGUCCCAGUGUCCCUUUGUUAAGAGCUGUGUGCUUGGCCAAAAUCUGUUUCCCCUCCGCCUUCCUAACAGAAGUUCAGUUCUGGCCGAGUGCGUCUCUCACUCCCGCAUCCCGCAGAGAUGGCGAGCUCGCCGCCUGCUUCAGAGAGCGGAUUGCGGGGGCCUAAACCAACCACAGCAGUCCCAGUCCCAGGCCAGCAGCUGGUGCUGGACGGGCGUGUCACCCAGCUCUGACCAACACGUCGUGAGGGAGAACCUGGGGCCUUCUGGCAAAAGCUCGUCUUCUCUGAGGGAGCCACGGGAAGGCCACUCCCUCCUGCCUGCCCGGAGUGCCCUUGUGCCUGUGCACGACUGUGGCAGCCACCUAGCACCCACGCGGGCCGUCAGCCUGCAGACAAUGCCAGCACACCACGGAUGCCACUGCAGCAGGGUGGACAAACGUGGGCCCCCGUGGAUGUCACCCUGCAGACCAUUCUGUGCCAGGAAUUUCCCUCCCCUGGACUCGUUAUUAAGAGGGACAACAUUGUUCUCCUGGAAGGUAGCUGGAGCUGGGAUUCCCAUUGCUUACAGCAGAAAGCUAACAGGUACACUGGGCCCUUAGAAAAAUCUCCUUGUGAACAAGCAAGGAGAGUUUCAGAAUACUCCACCGGACUCUUACUAAGAUCUCUUUUCCACAUGGCUAAUGCUUUUAUCUGGGAGCUAAAGGUUACCAUCCUGAGACAAACCCCAUCAUUUUUCUCCGGGCUGCUGCACGAUCCGUCCAACUGGUAUUCUGCCAAUUUCCUCCCUGUCCUCGUGUCCACCUAUUGUCUAUUACUGGCACGGUAGCCACCCCCCUGGCCCAGCAGUUGGAGGGCAUCUCAUCACACACACCUAAACUUCGCUGCGAUGUCCUGGGACUUCUGCGAUCUGGUCCUACUGGGCUCUGCAGCCUCAUCUGGACUUUUUACUCCACCCAUCGAGCUCCAGCCACCGUGGGGACAGUUCUCGGAAGGACCCGGGGAGAUUCCUAACUCGGGGCCUCUGCCCAUUUGCUCUUCUUUGCCUGGGAUGCAUCAUCAUCCAUCAUCUCUUUGCGUGGCUGACCCUUCCCAACCUGCUGGUCUUGACAGAGGUGGUGCCCUCCAAGUGUCCCUGCUAUUGUGCGGGCUGAUGGGCCAGUGCCAAGACCUUAGCAGCACCCAAAGCCCUCCAAGGUACAGGCGGGGUUAAUUCUCCCAGAGGUCCAGACACCUCUGUACACCACCAUCACAUUUUUGUCAUGACCUCGAAGAGUGGCAAAUUGGUGAGGGUGGGAAAUUCUAUGGAAGAAGAUGUCUAGAAGGAAAGCGACCUGCCGAGUGACUGAAAUAACAAAGCGUCUCCAAGCGCCGAUGACGACGAUGCCACAGACAGAAAGGCUGCCGUUUACAGCGCCGGGUGCGCCGAGCACAGGGUGUCCUCUAACCCUGUGACAGCCCUGCAAGGCUGGUUUCAUUCUUCCCGUCUGGAAACAAAACUGAGCAAAGUGACGCUCAGAGCGACCGUGCGCCUUGCUGAGGCCUCUGAUCAGCAACCAGCGGGCUGGACUCCGGCCGCGAGCUGAUCCCAGCGCCUCAGCUUCACCCGCUGCGCUGCAGUGUUGCCCAGCUCGAGGGCCAGCUGCUCCCUGAACACGUCAGGAAGCAGUCGGCUUUUUGUGGGAGCCCAAUUUCCUCCUGGAACAAACUUCCUAAGCGCCCAUGCUUCCUAGUUUAUAAAUAGGGAGGCACCAUCAGUGCUGGUUGGGCACCUCCGUAAGGCGGCACUGACAAGCUGAUUCUACGCGCCCUUGCCAAGAGAGCAAACCUGGCAGGCUGGCAGACACGGGGAGCUCUGCUGCAGCGCGGGCUUUCGGGGGAGCGCUGAGGACGCUCUGCAGAGUGGCCGACGAUCAGUGUCCAGUCUGAGUGGGCAGCUGCAUGCCAUCCCAGCACUGGGGGCUGGCGGGGGUGGCGACAGUCUUCCGUGAACAAGGGGAGGAGUGAGCCCACAGCACCGAGACCUUAGGGACCAGGCUGGUCUGCACACUGCACCGUCUUAGAAGCCCAGAAAGACUAGUCUAGCAGCAAAUGCAAACUGAGACACUUUAGGUUUUGCUCCAGGAUUUGGAAGUGGUAUUCUCACAGGAGGGGCAAACAUAUCAGACAUUUAUUUCACCCUCAGGGCUGCAUUUUCCAAAAGUGCCCUCUAACAAUCAAAAAUGACCCAAACUGCAAAAUCGUGAUGGUCUACUUGCUUUGGAGGAUGGGAGUGCGCUUCAAACAUUAAGGUUGUAUUCUGCAUGUGUAAAUAAUGUUAUAAAUACCAAAGGUUUUGCAUGUCUGCUACCUAA